RNAcentral lists this transfer RNA (74 nucleotides) under Myotis lucifugus (little brown bat). It matches the Rfam family "tRNA". From Rfam's summary of the family: Transfer RNA (tRNA) molecules are approximately 80 nucleotides in length. Lineage: Eukaryota; Metazoa; Chordata; Mammalia; Chiroptera; Vespertilionidae. The record is from Rfam by way of RNAcentral.
GGCCAGGUGGCUCAGUUGGUUGGAGCAUCAUCCUGUACACUAAAAGGUUGUGGGUUCAAUUCCCAUCAUGGCAC